RNAcentral lists this unclassified non-coding RNA (328 nucleotides) under soil metagenome. RNAcentral describes it as "partial contains 5.8S ribosomal RNA, internal transcribed spacer 2, and large subunit ribosomal RNA". The stretch from base 1 to 120 matches the Rfam family "5.8S ribosomal RNA", at positions 35 to 154 of the family's 154-position model. The record is from RNAcentral.
GAUGAAGAACGCAGCGAAAUGCGAUAAGUAAUGUGAAUUGCAGAAUUCAGUGAAUCAUCGAAUCUUUGAACGCACAUUGCGCCCCUUGGUAUUCCGAGGGGCAUGCCUGUUCGAGCGUCAUUUAAACCAAUCUAGCUUGCUAGGUCUUGGGCUUUCGCCUCUGGGCGGGCCUCAAAAUCAGUGGCGGUGCUGCCGGGCUUUAAGCGUAGUAAUCUUUCUCGCUAUAGGGUCCUGGUAGAGGCUUGCCAACAACUAUAAAUCUUUCAAAGGUUGACCUCGGAUCAGGUAGGGAUACCCGCUGAACCUAAGCAUAUCAAUAAGCGGAGGA